Cucumis melo (muskmelon) is the source of this 673-nucleotide long non-coding RNA. RefSeq lists it as uncharacterized. The record is from RefSeq and is a predicted model, not a curated record. Lineage: Eukaryota; Viridiplantae; Streptophyta; Magnoliopsida; Cucurbitales; Cucurbitaceae. The transcript has 2 exons.
UGAUAAGGUCUAGUCUCCAUCCCUAAACAACAAAAUCUUACAACGGCUGCCUGCAAAUACAAAAAUCUUAAAAACAGCUGCAAUUCCAGAGAAAAAAGAUCCUCUCUACCUCUGUAUGAAUUACAAACCCUAGCCCCCCUCCCUUAGCUUCCCUCCCCCACCCACCCCCUAGGGUUUGCAAAAAAUUCAGACUCAUAGAUUCUCUCUCUCCAACCCACACUUUUUCUUGGGUUUUGAUACUUUGCACUUUAAUGCCUUUUCCUUUGGAGCUGGUGUUUCUAUUGUAUUGUUAUUUGUAGGGACAUGUGCCCUUGAAAAUGGCGUCCAUGGAAUGGAACACAACCAAAUUUCACUUUUGGGAAGUUGUUGGAACCCUCCCAUCCCAUAGUCCCACUCCCUUUUUCAAUACUUCAAAUUUUUUUCGUAGAUUAAUGUAUAUCAUCCUACUCUUUAAGACUGGGAUACCGAUUAGUUGGAGGUUCAAUUUCUUUCGUGGAGAAGGCUCUUUCUUUAGUGAUAUCUGUAAAUAUUUCCUCUGAAGAGGGUUUCACUUGGGGGUGCUGUUAGGUUCUUUUUUGUUUGUGUUUCUGUUAGUGUUAAAAAAGAUCAUUACUUAAUAGUUCUGUAAAUUUUCCUUUGAAAUUUUCAAUACAUCACAAUUAUUUUGUUCAAA